This 518-nucleotide ribosomal RNA is filed under the name Lasiodiplodia theobromae. RNAcentral's name for it is "eukaryotic LSU rRNA". The stretch from base 145 to 298 matches the Rfam family "5.8S ribosomal RNA". The record is from RNAcentral. Lineage: Eukaryota; Fungi; Ascomycota; Dothideomycetes; Botryosphaeriales; Botryosphaeriaceae.
GACUAAAAGGCGUUCAGGGACUUCGGCUCGACUCUCCCACCCUUUGUGAACGUACCUCUGUUGCUUUGGCGGCUCCGGCCGCCAAAGGACCUUCAAACUCCAGUCAGUAAACGCAGACGUCUGAUAAACAAGUUAAUAAACUAAAACUUUCAACAACGGAUCUCUUGGUUCUGGCAUCGAUGAAGAACGCAGCGAAAUGCGAUAAGUAAUGUGAAUUGCAGAAUUCAGUGAAUCAUCGAAUCUUUGAACGCACAUUGCGCCCCUUGGUAUUCCGGGGGGCAUGCCUGUUCGAGCGUCAUUACAACCCUCAAGCUCUGCUUGGAAUUGGGCACCGUCCUCACUGCGGACGCGCCUCAAAGACCUCGGCGGUGGCUGUUCAGCCCUCAAGCGUAGUAGAAUACACCUCGCUUUGGAGCGGUUGGCGUCGCCCGCCGGACGAACCUUCUGAACUUUUCUCAAGGUUGACCUCGGAUCAGGUAGGGAUACCCGCUGAACUUAAGCAUAUCAAUAACCGGAGG